AACGAGCGAGAUCCCUGCCACUAGUUGCUAUCAUUAUUCUCAGGAAUAGUGGGGCGAAUUAGUGGGACUGCCGUUGUUAAAACGGAGGAAGGAAGGGGNUACGGCAGGUCAGUAUGCCCCGAAANUCUGGGCCCACACGCGGGCUGCAAUGGUAGUGACAAUGAGUUCCAAACUCGAAAGAGAGUGGCAAUCUCUAAACGCUACCACAGUUAUGACUGAGGGCUGUAACUCGCCCUCACGAAUAUGGAAUCCCUAGUAACCGCGUGUCAUUACCGCGCGGUGAAUACGUCCCUGCUCCUUGCACACACCGCCCGUCGUUUCAUCGAAGUUUGCUUUUAGUGAGGUGAUGUUUAAUUGGCAUUAUCGAACUUGAGGUAAGCGACGAGGGAAAAGUCGUAACAAGGUA
This 406-nucleotide ribosomal RNA is filed under the name uncultured archaeon. RNAcentral describes it as "bacterial SSU rRNA". It matches the Rfam family "Archaeal small subunit ribosomal RNA", at positions 1040 to 1445 of the family's 1478-position model. The record is from RNAcentral.